GAAAGAUGUGGCCUGCAGAGAGCCGGCACUAUCUCUACUGCUGCUGCUGCUGCUGCUGCCACCGCUGCCGCUGCCGCCGCCACUACUGCUGUCAGUAGAGCUGCUGGGAGUGAGCCUCCCUUCUUCCAGAUACCCAGCUCCGUUGCGUAGUCCGCUCCCUGGCCCCGCACGGACCUCCCCGCCCCAGGGAACAAAAGCAGAGUCCGGUCGCCCUGUUCUGCAGCCAGAGGAUGAUGAGUCUAGAGCUCUGAACAGAGUGUGGUCUUCAGCGGCUGGAAGCUGCUCCCUGCCCUUUCUCCAUGAUUCCUGACUUGUGGCCCUGGCAAUCUCAGAAGAGCUUCACUGAAUUCCCUUGCGACCAGAACCUGGGGACUCGCUUCCCCCAGCAUCACCCCUGUGCAGCCUGGACACACUGACUGAACCAGUCUUUAGGACACUUCAUUCAGUAAGACAUGGUGGUGAACCAAGGCUCUACGUCUUCAUGAAUGAAAGACUCUUGCACAAGGCAAAGUUGUCAUUUGAUGGCAAGUGUUAGAGCUGACCACGAGAGAGGACUGACACAGCUUACCUCCUGCACUUAGUGUUCUCUAUGAAGAGACAGGUAAACAAGUACAUGUAAAGUAGGCUAUUGAAUAUGUAUGGUUAUGAUAAUGUGGGGGUAUCUCUAUUUGUUGAGCCUGAAAAAUUCUGCUUUAACUCUUUCACAGGUCUUACCACAGUGGCUGUCUCUUCUCCACUAGUACUGAGGGGAGAGAAAAAGAGCGAGGG
Long non-coding RNA from Rattus norvegicus (Norway rat), 768 nucleotides. NCBI's taxonomy places the organism in Eukaryota, Metazoa, Chordata, Mammalia, Rodentia, Muridae. The record is from Ensembl.